UGGCUCACUUUGGCAGCAUAUUUGUUAAAAUUGGAAUGAUACGGAGACAAUUAGCAUAGCCCCUGGGCAAGGAUGACACACAAAUUCAUGAAGGUUUCCAUAUUUUU
Small nuclear RNA from Rhincodon typus (whale shark), 107 nucleotides. The record is from RefSeq and is a predicted model, not a curated record. NCBI's taxonomy places the organism in Eukaryota, Metazoa, Chordata, Chondrichthyes, Orectolobiformes, Rhincodontidae.